This 464-nucleotide ribosomal RNA is filed under the name uncultured Comamonadaceae bacterium. Its description in RNAcentral is "partial 16S ribosomal RNA". It matches the Rfam family "Bacterial small subunit ribosomal RNA", at positions 338 to 794 of the family's 1533-position model. The record is from RNAcentral. Lineage: Bacteria; Pseudomonadati; Pseudomonadota; Betaproteobacteria; Burkholderiales; Comamonadaceae.
CCUACGGGAGGCAGCAGUGGGGAAUUUUGGACAAUGGGCGCAAGCCUGAUCCAGCAAUGCCGCGCGCAGGAUGAAGGCCUUCGGGUUGUAAACUGCUUUUGUACGGAACGAAAAGGCUCUGGCUAAUACCUGGGGCUGAUGACGGUACCGUAAGAAUAAGCACCGGCUAACUACGUGCCAGCAGCCGCGGUAAUACGUAGGGUGCGAGCGUUAAUCGGAAUUACUGGGCGUAAAGCGUGCGCAGGCGGUUUUGUAAGACAGGUGGAAAAUCCCCGGGCUAAACCGGGGAACUGCACUUGUGACUGCAGGGCUGGAGUACGGCAGAGGGGGAUGAAAUUCCGCGUGUAGCAGUGAAAUGCGUAGAUAUGCGGAGGAACACCGAUGGCGAAGGAGGUCCCCGGGGCCUGUACUGACGCUCAUGCACGAAAGCGGGGGGAGCAAACAGGAUUAGAUCCCCCUGUAGU